Molecule: ribosomal RNA, 253 nt
Filed under: uncultured bacterium
Lineage: Bacteria
Description: partial 16S ribosomal RNA
Rfam family: Bacterial small subunit ribosomal RNA
Source: RNAcentral
UACGUAGGGGGCAAGCGUUGUCCGGAUUUAUUGGGCGUAAAGAGCGUGUAGGCGGCCGUACAGGUCAGCUGUGAAAACUCGAGGCUCAACCUCGAGACGUCGGUUGAAACCGUACGGCUAGAGUCCGGAAGAGGAGAGUGGAAUUCCCGGUGUAGCGGUGAAAUGCGCAGAUAUCAAGUGGAACACCAGUGGCGAAGGCGAGUCUCUGGACAUUUCCUGACGCUGAGGCACGAAAGCCAGGGGAGCAAACGGG